RNAcentral lists this ribosomal RNA (588 nucleotides) under Vibrio splendidus. RNAcentral describes it as "bacterial SSU rRNA". It matches the Rfam family "Bacterial small subunit ribosomal RNA", at positions 582 to 1169 of the family's 1533-position model. Lineage: Bacteria; Pseudomonadati; Pseudomonadota; Gammaproteobacteria; Vibrionales; Vibrionaceae. The record is from RNAcentral.
AUUAAGUCAGAUGUGAAAGCCCGGGGCUCAACCUCGGAACUGCAUUUGAAACUGGUGAACUAGAGUGCUGUAGAGGGGGGUAGAAUUUCAGGUGUAGCGGUGAAAUGCGUAGAGAUCUGAAGGAAUACCAGUGGCGAAGGCGGCCCCCUGGACAGACACUGACACUCAGAUGCGAAAGCGUGGGGAGCAAACAGGAUUAGAUACCCUGGUAGUCCACGCCGUAAACGAUGUCUACUUGGAGGUUGUGGCCUUGAGCCGUGGCUUUCGGAGCUAACGCGUUAAGUAGACCGCCUGGGGAGUACGGUCGCAAGAUUAAAACUCAAAUGAAUUGACGGGGGCCCGCACAAGCGGUGGAGCAUGUGGUUUAAUUCGAUGCAACGCGAAGAACCUUACCUACUCUUGACAUCCAGAGAAGCCAGCGGAGACGCAGGUGUGCCUUCGGGAACUCUGAGACAGGUGCUGCAUGGCUGUCGUCAGCUCGUGUUGUGAAAUGUUGGGUUAAGUCCCGCAACGAGCGCAACCCUUAUCCUUGUUUGCCAGCGAGUAAUGUCGGGAACUCCAGGGAGACUGCCGGUGAUAAACCGGAGG